This 301-nucleotide ribosomal RNA is filed under the name uncultured bacterium. RNAcentral's name for it is "partial 16S ribosomal RNA". It matches the Rfam family "Bacterial small subunit ribosomal RNA", at positions 509 to 807 of the family's 1533-position model. The record is from RNAcentral.
CAGUCGCCGCGGGAAUACAGAGGGUGCGAGCGUUAAUCGGAUUUACUGGGCGUAAAGCGCGCGUAGGUGGUUUGUUAAGUUGGAUGUGAAAUCCCCGGGCUCAACCUGGGAACUGCAUCCAAAACUGGCAAGCUAGAGUAUGGUAGAGGGUGGUGGAAUUUCCUGUGUAGCGGUGAAAUGCGUAGAUAUAGGAAGGAACACCAGUGGCGAAGGCGACCACCUGGACUGAUACUGACACUGAGGUGCGAAAGCGUGGGGAGCAAACAGGAUUAGAUACCCGUGUAGUCCCUGUCUCUUAUAC